CGCUGGCGGCGUGCUUAACACACGCAAGUCGAACGGUAAGGCCCUUCGGGGUACACGAGUGGCGAACGGGUGAGUAACACGUGGGUGAUCUGCCCUGCACUUCGGGAUAAGCCUGGGAAACUGGGUCUAAUACCGGAUAGGACCAUGGACUUCACGGUUUGUGGUGGAAAGCUUUUGCGGUGUGGGAUGGGCCCGCGGCCUAUCAGCUUGUUGGUGGGGUAAUGGCCUACCAAGGCGACGACGGGUAGCCGGCCUGAGAGGGUGUCCGGCCACACUGGGACUGAGAUACGGCCCAGACUCCUACGGGAGGCAGCAGUGGGGAAUAUUGCACAAUGGGCGCAAGCCUGAUGCAGCGACGCCGCGUGAGGGAUGACGGCCUUCGGGUUGUAAACCUCUUUCAAUAGGGACGAAGCGCAAGUGACGGUACCUAUAGAAGAAGCACCGGCCAACUACGUG
Molecule: ribosomal RNA, 456 nt
Filed under: uncultured bacterium
Lineage: Bacteria
Description: bacterial SSU rRNA
Rfam family: Bacterial small subunit ribosomal RNA
Source: RNAcentral